RNAcentral lists this ribosomal RNA (465 nucleotides) under Vreelandella stevensii. RNAcentral's name for it is "partial 16S ribosomal RNA". It matches the Rfam family "Bacterial small subunit ribosomal RNA", at positions 338 to 795 of the family's 1533-position model. The record is from RNAcentral. Lineage: Bacteria; Pseudomonadati; Pseudomonadota; Gammaproteobacteria; Oceanospirillales; Halomonadaceae.
CCUACGGGUGGCAGCAGUGGGGAAUAUUGGACAAUGGGCGAAAGCCUGAUCCAGCCAUGCCGCGUGUGUGAAGAAGGCCUUCGGGUUGUAAAGCACUUUCAGUGGGGAAGAAAGCCUUGGGGCUAAUACCCUCGAGGAAGGACAUCACCCACAGAAGAAGCACCGGCUAACUCCGUGCCAGCAGCCGCGGUAAUACGGAGGGUGCGAGCGUUAAUCGGAAUUACUGGGCGUAAAGCGCGCGUAGGCGGUCUGAUAAGCCGGUUGUGAAAGCCCCGGGCUCAACCUGGGAACGGCAUCCGGAACUGUGAGGCUAGAGUGCAGGAGAGGAAGGUAGAAUUCCCGGGGUAGCGGUGAAAUGCGUAGAGAUCGGGAGGAAUACCAGUGGCGAAGGCGGCCUUCUGGACUGACACUGACGCUGAGGUGCGAAAGCGUGGGUAGCAAACAGGAUUAGAUACCCGAGUAGUC